RNAcentral lists this ribosomal RNA (469 nucleotides) under uncultured bacterium. Its description in RNAcentral is "partial 16S ribosomal RNA". It matches the Rfam family "Bacterial small subunit ribosomal RNA", at positions 28 to 507 of the family's 1533-position model. The record is from RNAcentral.
GACGAACGCUGGCGGCGUGCUUAACACAUGCAAGUCGAACGGAAAGGCCCUACUUGCAGGGUGCUCGAGUGGCGAACGGGUGAGUAACACGUGGGUGAUCUGCCCCUUACUUUGGGAUAAGCCCGGGAAACUGGGUCUAAUACUGGAUAGGACCAUGCUGUAGGUGGUGUGGUGGAAAGAUUAGUUUCGGUAAGGGAUGAGCUCGCGGCCUAUCAGCUUGUUGGUGGGGUAAUGGCCUACCAAGGCGUCGACGGGUAGCCGGCCUGAGAGGGUGGACGGCCACAUUGGGACUGAGAUACGGCCCAGACUCCUACGGGAGGCAGCAGUGGGGAAUAUUGCACAAUGGGCGCAAGCCUGAUGCAGCGACGCCGCGUGGGGGAUGACGGCCUUCGGGUUGUAAACUCCUUUCAGCCAUGACGAAGCCCUUGUGGUGACGGUAGUGGUAGAAGAAGCACCGGCUAACUACGUG